This 292-nucleotide ribosomal RNA is filed under the name uncultured bacterium. RNAcentral's name for it is "partial 16S ribosomal RNA". It matches the Rfam family "Bacterial small subunit ribosomal RNA", at positions 505 to 796 of the family's 1533-position model. The record is from RNAcentral.
GUGUCAGCCGCCGCGGUAAUACGUAGGAGGCGAGCGUUGUCCGGAUUUACUGGGCGUAAAGCGCGCGCAGGCGGCACUGUAAGUAAGAUGUGAAAUCUCUCUGCUCAACGGGGAGGGUGCAUUUUAGACUGCAGAGCUAGAGGACGGUAGAGGGGGGUGGAAUUGCUGGUGUAGCGGUGAAAUGCGUAGAGAUCAGCAGGAACACCCGUGGCGAAGGCGGCCCCCUGGGCCGAACCUGACGCUGAGGCGCGAAGGCUAGGGGAGCGAACGGGAUUAGAAACCCCCGUAGUCC